UACGGAGGGUGCGAGCGUUAAUCGGAAUUACUGGGCGUAAAGGGUGCGUAGGUGGUUUAAUAAGUUAUCUGUAAAAGCCCUGGGCUCAACCUGGGAAGGUCAGAUGAUACUGUUAGACUCGAGUAUGGGAGAGGGUAGUGGAAUUUCCGGUGUAGCGGUGAAAUGCGUAGAGAUCGGAAGGAACACCAGUGGCGAAGGCGGCUACCUGGCCUAAUACUGACACUGAGGCACGAAAGCGUGGGGAGCAAACAGG
RNAcentral lists this ribosomal RNA (253 nucleotides) under uncultured bacterium. RNAcentral describes it as "partial 16S ribosomal RNA". It matches the Rfam family "Bacterial small subunit ribosomal RNA", at positions 524 to 776 of the family's 1533-position model. The record is from RNAcentral.